This 447-nucleotide ribosomal RNA is filed under the name uncultured bacterium. Its description in RNAcentral is "bacterial SSU rRNA". It matches the Rfam family "Bacterial small subunit ribosomal RNA", at positions 29 to 524 of the family's 1533-position model. The record is from RNAcentral.
AACGAACGCUGGCGGCAGGCUUAACACAUGCAAGUCGAACGCCCCGCAAGGGGAGUGGCAGACGGGAGAGUAACACGUGGGAACGUGCCCUUCGCUUCGGGAUAGCCUCGGGAAACUGGGAGUAAUACCGAAUACGCCGUAUUGGGAAAGAUAUAUCGGCAAAGGAUCGGCCCGCGUUGGAUUAGCUAGUUGGCGGUGUAAUGGACCACCAAGGCUACGAUCCAUAGCUGGUCUGAGAGGACGACCAGCCACACUGGGACUGAGACACGGCCCAGACUCCUACGGGAGGCAGCAGUGGGAAUCUUGGACAAUGGGACGCAAGCCUGAUCAGCCAUGCCGCGUGAGUGAAGAAGGCCUUAGGGUUGUAAAACUCUUUACGCCGGUGAAGAUAAUGACGGUAACCGGAGAAGAAGCCCCGGCUAACUUCGUGCCAGCAGCCGCGGUAAU